GAUGAAGAACGUAGCGAAAUGCGAUAAGUAAUGUGAAUUGCAGAAUUCAGUGAAUCAUCGAAUCUUUGAACGCACAUUGCGCCUGCCAGUAGUCUGGCGGGCAUGCCUGUUCGAGCGUCAUUUCAACCAUCAAGCCCCCGGGCUUGUGUUGGGGACCUGCGGCUGCCGCAGGCCCUGAAAAGCAGUGGCGGGCUCGCUGUCACACCGAGCGUAGUAGAUUUUAUCUCGCUCUGGGCGUGCUGCGGGUUCCGGCCGUUAAACCACCCUUUUAACCCAAGGUUGACCUCGGAUCAGGUAGGAAGACCCGCUGAACUUAAGCAUAUCAAUAAGCGGAGGA
Molecule: unclassified non-coding RNA, 337 nt
Filed under: soil metagenome
Description: partial contains 5.8S ribosomal RNA, internal transcribed spacer 2, and large subunit ribosomal RNA
Rfam family: 5.8S ribosomal RNA (bases 1-120)
Source: RNAcentral